CAGCAGUGAGGAAUAUUGGUCAAUGGCCUAACGGCUGAACUGGCAACUUGGAGAAGUGGCAAGUCUUCCAGUAUGGGGAGCAAAACAGCUAUGGGUCAAGUCCGAUAUCUUUAGGAGAAGUCUUAUUGUGAGGGCGAGUUAUAUAACACCAUAGGACUGGCCGUCCCAUAUGAAAAGAUUAUAUUAGAAUUGAAUGAAGCUUUGUUUAUAUAUUGAUAAUGACAGUAUAUAUAUCGUGUCUUGACUAAUUGCGUGCCAGCAGUCGCGGUAAUACGUAAGAGACUAGUGUUAUUCAUCUUAAUUAGGUUUAAAGGGUACCCAGACGGUCAAUAUAGCUUAUAAAAUGUUAGUACUUGACUAGAGUUUUAUGUAAGAGGGCAGUACUUGAGGAGGAGAGAUGAAAUUUCGUGAUACCAAAGGGACUCUGUAAAGGCGAAGGCAGCCCUCUAUGUAAAAACUGACGUUGAAGGACGAAGGCACAGAGAACAAACAGGAUUAGAUACCCAAGUAGUCUUUGCAGUAAAUGAUGAAUGCCAUAGGUUAGAUUGGUCAAUUAUAGUCUAGGGUUAGUCUAGCAAACUAAUACCCUAUGCUAUAAUCCUAAUAUCUGGUCUAUAAAUGAAAGUGUAAGCAUUUCACCUCAAGAGUAAUGUGGCAACGCAGGAACUGAAAUCACUAGACCGUUUCUGACACCAGUAGUGAAGUAUGUUAUUUAAUUCGAUGAUCC
Molecule: ribosomal RNA, 727 nt
Filed under: Fusarium oxysporum
Lineage: Eukaryota; Fungi; Ascomycota; Sordariomycetes; Hypocreales; Nectriaceae
Also listed under: 12 other names
Description: SSU rRNA
Rfam family: Bacterial small subunit ribosomal RNA
Source: RNAcentral